RNAcentral lists this ribosomal RNA (158 nucleotides) under Bursaphelenchus andrassyi. RNAcentral describes it as "partial 28S ribosomal RNA". The stretch from base 61 to 158 matches the Rfam family "Eukaryotic large subunit ribosomal RNA", at positions 1 to 98 of the family's 3401-position model. Lineage: Eukaryota; Metazoa; Nematoda; Chromadorea; Rhabditida; Aphelenchoididae. The record is from RNAcentral.
AUGUCGGGCGUUUUGCUUUCGGGCAAUUCUGCUUGGUUGGCACGUUGGCUUUGGUUAUAAACCACCUGAGUUACGUAUGAUUACCUGCUGAACUUAAGCAUAUCAGUAAGCAGAGGAAAAGAAACAAACAUGGAUUCCCUUAGUAACGGCGAGUGAAA